This 1481-nucleotide ribosomal RNA is filed under the name Nocardiopsis sp. CN2. Its description in RNAcentral is "bacterial SSU rRNA". It matches the Rfam family "Bacterial small subunit ribosomal RNA". RNAcentral also lists the same sequence under 1 other name. The record is from RNAcentral. Lineage: Bacteria; Bacillati; Actinomycetota; Actinomycetes; Streptosporangiales; Nocardiopsidaceae.
UUUUUUUNCUGCUCAGGACGAACGCUGGCGGCGUGCUUAACACAUGCAAGUCGAGCGGUAAGGCCCUUCGGGGUACACGAGCGGCGAACGGGUGAGUAACACGUGAGCAACCUGCCCCUGACUCCGGGAUAAGCGGUGGAAACGCCGUCUAAUACCGGAUAUGACCUGCCACCUCAUGGUGGCGGGUGGAAAGUUUUGUCGGUCAGGGAUGGGCUCGCGGCCUAUCAGCUUGUUGGUGGGGUAACGGCCUACCAAGGCGAUUACGGGUAGCCGGCCUGAGAGGGCGACCGGCCACACUGGGACUGAGACACGGCCCAGACUCCUGCGGGAGGCAGCAGUGGGGAAUAUUGCACAAUGGGCGAAAGCCUGAUGCAGCGACGCCGCGUGGGGGAUGACGGCCUUCGGGUUGUAAACCUCUUUUACCACCAACGCAGGCUCCACGUUUUCGUGGGGUUGACGGUAGGUGGGGAAUAAGGACCGGCUAACUACGUGCCAGCAGCCGCGGUAAUACGUAGGGUCCGAGCGUUGUCCGGAAUUAUUGGGCGUAAAGAGCUCGUAGGCGGCAUGUCGCGUCUGCUGUGAAAGACCGGGGCUUAACUCCGGUUCUGCAGUGGAUACGGGCAUGCUAGAGGUAGGUAGGGGAAACUGGAAUUCCUGGUGUAGCGGUGAAAUGCGCAGAUAUCAGGAGGAACACCGGUGGCGAAGGCGGGUUUCUGGGCCUACCUGACGCUGAGGAGCGAACGNCNGAAAGCAUGGGGAGCGAACAGGAUUAGAUACCCUGGUAGUCCAUGCCGUAAACGUUGGGCGCUAGGUGUGGGGACUUUCCACGGUUUCCGCGCCGUAGCUAACGCAUUAAGCGCCCCGCCUGGGGAGUACGGCCGCAAGGCUAAAACUCAAAGGAAUUGACGGGGGCCCGCACAAGCGGCGGAGCAUGUUGCUUAAUUCGACGCAACGCGAAGAACCUUACCAAGGUUUGACAUCACCCGUGGACCUGUAGAGAUACAGGGUCAUUUAGUUGGUGGGUGACAGGUGGUGCAUGGCUGUCGUCAGCUCGUGUCGUGAGAUGUUGGGUUAAGUCCCGCAACGAGCGCAACCCUUGUUCUAUGUUGCCAGCACGUUAUGGUGGGGACUCAUAGGAGACUGCCGGGGUCAACUCGGAGGAAGGUGGGGACGACGUCAAGUCAUCAUGCCCCUUAUGUCUUGGGCUGCAAACAUGCUACAAUGGCCGGUACAAUGGGCGUGCGAUACCGUAAGGUGGAGCGAAUCCCUUAAAGCCGGUCUCAGUUCGGAUUGGGGUCUGCAACUCGACCCCAUGAAGGUGGAGUCGCUAGUAAUCGCGGAUCAGCAACGCCGCGGUGAAUACGUUCCCGGGCCUUGUACACACCGCCCGUCACGUCAUGAAAGUCGGCAACACCCGAAACUUGUGGCCUAACCCUUCGGGAGGGAUGAGUGAGNUGGGGCUGCGAUGGGACGAGUCUCGA